GAUGAACGCUGGCGGCGUGCCUAAUACAUGCAAGUCGAGCGAACGGACGAGAAGCUUGCUUCUCUGAUGUUAGCGGCGGACGGGUGAGUAACACGUGGAUAACCUACCUAUAAGACUGGGAUAACUUCGGGAAACCGGAGCUAAUACCGGAUAAUAUUUUGAACCGCAUGGUUCAAAAGUGAAAGACGGUCUUGCUGUCACUUAUAGAUGGAUCCGCGCUGCAUUAGCUAGUUGGUAAGGUAACGGCUUACCAAGGCAACGAUGCAUAGCCGACCUGAGAGGGUGAUCGGCCACACUGGACCUGAGACACGGUCCAGACUCCUACGGGAGGCAGCAGUAGGGAAUCUUCCGCAAUGGGCGAAAGCCUGACGGAGCAACGCCGCGUGAGUGAUGAAGGUCUUCGGAUCGUAAACUCUGUUAUUAGGGAAGAACAUAUGUGUAAGUAACUGUGCACAUCUUGACGGUACCUAAUCAGAAAGCCACGGCUAACUACGUG
This 496-nucleotide ribosomal RNA is filed under the name uncultured bacterium. RNAcentral describes it as "partial 16S ribosomal RNA". It matches the Rfam family "Bacterial small subunit ribosomal RNA", at positions 28 to 507 of the family's 1533-position model. The record is from RNAcentral.